GAUGAACGCUGGCGGCGUGCCUAAUACAUGCAAGUCGAGCGAACAGAUGAGGAGCUUGCUCCUCUGACGUUAGCGGCGGACGGGUGAGUAACACGUGGAUAACCUACCUAUAAGACUGGGAUAACUUCGGGAAACCGGAGCUAAUACCGGAUAAUAUAUUGAACCGCAUGGUUCAAUAGUGAAAGACGGUUUUGCUGUCACUUAUAGAUGGAUCCGCGCCGCAUUAGCUAGUUGGUAAGGUAACGGCUUACCAAGGCAACGAUGCGUAGCCCACCUGAGAGGGGGUCGCGCCCACUCGGACAUGACGACCGUUCCCGGCCCAUACGGGGGGCACGGGUGGGGAAUUUUCCCCAAAGGGCGAAAGCCUGCCGGAGAAACGCCGGGGGAGUGAUGAAGGUCUUCGGUUCGAAAAACCUUUUUUUUAGGGAAAAAAAAAUUGGUAGUUAACUUUCCCCGUUUUGCCGGUACCUAUUCAAAAAGCCCCGGCUAACUACUU
Molecule: ribosomal RNA, 496 nt
Filed under: uncultured bacterium
Lineage: Bacteria
Description: partial 16S ribosomal RNA
Rfam family: Bacterial small subunit ribosomal RNA
Source: RNAcentral